Gallus gallus (chicken) is the source of this 2022-nucleotide long non-coding RNA. The record is from Ensembl. NCBI's taxonomy places the organism in Eukaryota, Metazoa, Chordata, Aves, Galliformes, Phasianidae.
AAAAUCUCAUUUGCAGAGCAGACCCCAAAGGAUUGAUCCAUGGCUGCUGGAAGUCCUGUCCAUACUCCCACUGAGAACACUGCUGUUCUAUGUCAAGCAGGAGACAGCAAGGGAAAGGCAGGGUGGGCACCAAGCGUUCUCCUACAUGGAGUUGGGAUGGGCCAUCCAGACAGGGGACCCCAGCGCCCCUAGGGGAAACAGAGACUAGAAGCGAUGUUCCUCCUCGGAAGUCAUGGAAAGGCACUUCCAGAAGUAACCACAGUUUGUCCUUCCAGCUUAAAGCAAACAGAUUUAAGAAGCCUUAUUCUGCAGGUCUGCUGAGCAGGGGUUUACUGCAAGGUGGAAAAGCCCUGGAAAUCUCUGCUGUGCCACUACCAGACAGGGGUGUCCAAAGGGGAAGGACUUUGCCCUGGGCACGGUGCAACCCACGGCACAAGGGAGCCACGUCCUGCUCUGAGCAAUGCCCUUGCUGGCCCUGUUCUGCAGUACAGCACUCUCAUGAGCAGCCUUAGUGGAUUCCUUCUUACACAAGGAAUGCUUCCACCAGAACCUAAUGGAACCAACUGUUUUUGAGACAGAAGGAGAAGGCCUUGUUUUCUCAAGAACUAAAGAAAUACCUGAAAACACAUCCCACAUAGGAUGCGUUUGGGAUUUGGGACUUAUAAAAUGUAACACAAGUAGCAAAAACGUGCAGGGAGAAGUUAAUUCCGUUAAUUCCAGCUUUAAAUGGCCUAUCAGUGCAGUGUAGCAGUCACAGGGCUCUUACAAAAGUAGUCCAACUUUCUGAAUAAAUGACAAAUAUUGCAAACUUAUGCAUAAAAUGGACUUACAACAUGUAAAUGUCCAAGGCACUCUGUAUUUCUUCAUUUUCCUAUAGAAUUUUCUAAUGCUUUUAUAGCACAGGUCACAAUGCAGAAUAGCUAAAGAUCUGUGUGCUGAUUCUUACAUAGGAGCUUAGAGCCCUCCCAGCAUGGCAGAUGGGUAAGGUGAAUUUCCCCAGCCUUUGUCAUGUAUCAAAGAAAAAGAAAAAGGGGCAAAAUGCAUGCUAAAAUGCAUCUCAUAAAUCCAGUGCAAUGGAAAAUGCUUUGAGCUCCUGAUGAGAUGAAAUGGUUUUAUGGACAGGAAAUGAACAACAGAAUAAUAUCAGCUACUCCUUCUUCUCUUGCCUGGACACACCGAGAGCCAUCCGUUGACUUGCCUGUUUGACAACAAAUGGAAGCAAAAUAACUUGUUAUCGCAAUUAGGCUUGUUACGUUGGACAGUAAAAAGCUUAAGCGUGUUCUUCUUCAGUCUUGUGCAGAAGGAGGAGAAUCUGAAUCAAUUUCACAUGGUACCUUAUCUUCCAUUCACACAAAACCUCUUAUUUAUCACUAUUCAUUAACUCGUGGAGGCUCUUAGUGAUCCUGCAUGGCCAGCAAGGAGAGCGCUGUUGCUAUGGGUGGAAAAUUCAGUUUUGCUUUUCCUGAAGCUUCCUUGGAGUUGAGCCUGGAAAAGGGAUGUGACACCUUGAGGCACGCAGACACAAAUGGCUGCAAAUUGGUGUUAGUGUUGUCGCUUUGGGCCAUGAGAACCAUGUUAGGUCAUUGCUGCAGAAAACACGCUGCUUUUGAGAAUCACUGAAAAAGAAUAACCAGCCCGUGAAAAUUAAGAGCACCUGAUGUCUUAAUCACUGUGUGUUAUUCCAGGACAGGAGAACUGUGCUGCCAGCAGGAGAAUUUCACCUCCUGGACCUUUAUCCAGAAUCAAAUCAAAUUAGUAUGUGAGCCACUGAUGUGAGACAAGAUUAGCCAAAAAGCCGUUGUGUUUGCAAACUCCCAUUGCCUUUCCUGACAGCUCUUCAGCUCUGCAGUUUUUAUUUAUAACCUACGUGAAGGAGCAGGGAAAGCAAACAGCUUGUUUGGAAAUACUGGUGGAAAUGGAAGUGUGUGGCUUUGCUUGAGCCGUAUUAUCUUUUAUUUUGACUGUUAACUUUCUCUGAAUAGCCUAGUUCAUUAUGAAAUCUGCACGCUUAGUCAUUAAAAA